GGCAGAGGUUGCCCAGCACAGCCACUGCUGCACUGGGGGACACGGUGCCAGUCCCUGGCCCCAGAGCUGCUGGGGGAGAGGGACGUGGGCUGCUGGGCCGGGCUGGGAGCUCCCAGCUCUGCGCGUACCAAGGUUGGGCAGAGCCGUGUGGGCAGCCUGGGGCAGGAUGCAGGCACCCGCUGAGAUCCAGCAGCAGCAGUGCACGGCCUCGGGUCCUCGGGGAGCUCGGCCUGCCCGGGCGAGUGGCAUUGCCCCUGCGCCACAUGCGCCGUGCGAGCUCCCGGCCGCCUCCUGUCUGAGCAGUGCCCGUCUUUGCACCCUGCAGAUCCGCAGCUUGCUGGGGCAGCACAGGAUGCCGAGAGCGCCCCUGAGCUUGCCCACGGGAGCCAGGGGCUGCUGCUGGAGGUGGACGCCCACGUGGCCGGCACCGUGCGGGCCCUGCAGGACGACAUGCAGCGCGUGCUGCAGCGCCUGAGCGAGCUGGAGACGCUCACCUCUGUGCAGGUACGUGCCCGGCCACGCAGAGAGCUGGGGGUGCUGGCCUGUGGGGCUGUGUGACCCCCAGGCGUCGCCGGUCCCUGUCCCUGCCCACACAGCCCGGGUUGGCCCAGGUGCUGAGAGACCUUGGGCUGCCAUCGUGGCCUGGCAGGGUGGAGGCUGCGGAUGCUGCUCUGAGCUGCCCCGAGGUGCGGGCAGGGAGCUGCCGUCCCCGCCAUCCCCCCUGCCCCGGGUCCUGGCCCAGUUGCUCUGCAGAGCCCUGCCUGGGCCCGGUUGUUCCCAGCCCCUCUCUGUGGGGAUGCGGUGGCUGAAGGGGGGUGCCUGGCCCUGGCCGCACCCUGACACCUCUCCUGUCUCGCAGGGGGACACCUCUGGGGCUGAACCUGGCCGGCUGCUUGCACCACAGGCAGCGUUCCCGUGGCCGCUGGCGGUGUCCCCGCGCACGCUGCUGUUCCUCAUCGCCUGGCCCUUCGUCACCCAGUGGCUGCUGCGCCGCUGGCAGGGCACCAAGAGGUGACCGCCGCGGGACGGCCCCGCUCCGCCUGCCCCCACCGCCACCGCCCUCCUGCCGCUUCUCACGAGCCGGGAAAGCGCCGGGACCGCCGCACCCCCACCCCCACCGCCGCCUUCCUGCCACCGGCGGCCCCGGCCCCGAGGGAGCCGAGCUGCGAGCCCGGGACCCCCCGGGACCCCCGGACCCCCCCCUCGCAGCCGGCCCCGGGUCGGGGCGGGGCCGCCUCGCACCGCCGCUCCCAGCCGCUGGGCCCGGCCCCGCACGCACGGGGGCGCCCGAGCGCUGCCCGCACCCGCGGCGCCGCCAUCACACAGCGGGGAGCGGGGCCGGAGCCCCCCGGGGGGGCCCGCGGGGAGCCGGGGGAGCUGCGGGGGCCGAGGCCCCAUUAAAGCGUUGCCUUCUCAGCCCGGCGCCCGCUCCGUGCUCUGCGGGGACCCCGGGGGGGGGCACCCCGCGACCACCGGCCCCGGCCCCGCCAGCCCCGGGCUGUGCCCGUGCCCCCCGGUGGCGGGGACAUCGCUGGGGGGGGGGGGGGGGGGGCCCGGCCCCGCCCCCUCGGGCCUGGGGGGGUCCUGGGGGGGGUCCCCGGGAGGUGCUGCCCCCCCCCGUCCCCGUCCCUCCCUCUCUCGGCCCCGCCCCUCCGGUUGUGGCCGCGGCGCCUUUAAGCCGGGCCUCGUCCCCUCCCGGUUUGUUUACAUCUCCCUCCGCGCUCUGACCGCAUCACCCAGCGCGGCCCCGGGACUC
Molecule: long non-coding RNA, 1756 nt
Filed under: Anas platyrhynchos platyrhynchos (common mallard)
Lineage: Eukaryota; Metazoa; Chordata; Aves; Anseriformes; Anatidae
Description: lncRNA (ENSAPLG00000022980.1)
Source: RNAcentral